UGCUCCUUGUUUUCUUACAUAGGGAGUCGGACCUGCUCGGUGAAUAUAUUUUAACAGCCGCGGUACUCUGACCGUGCAAAGGUAGCAUAAUCAUUUGCCUUAUAAUUGAAGGCUAGUAUGAAUGGUUUGACGAGAAUUAAGCUGUCUCUUUUUAACUAAAUAUAACUUUAUUAAGAGGUGAAGAAGCCUGUAUUUUAUUGAAAGACAAGAAGACCCUAUCGAGCUUUAAAGAAUUUAGUAGAUUUACCAUAUAUUAAUAAAAAAGUAAAGCAACUAAAUAUUUUGGUUGGGGCGACUGAGGAACAAACAAAGCUUCCUUUAUGCUAAUUAAAACUUACAAGUAUUGAUCCAAUUUAUUUGAUUAAAGGAAUUAGUUACCGUAGGGAUAACAGCAUAAUCUCCUUUGAGAGUUCUCAUCGAAAAGGGGGUUUGUGACCUCGAUGUUGGACCAGAAUACCCAGAAGAUGCAGCCGUCUUCAAUGGUUGGUCUGUUCGACCAUUAAAAUUCUACGUGAUCUGAGUUCAGACCGGCGUGAGCCAGGUCAGUUUCUAUCUUCAAUUUUUAUAGUGGCCUUAGUACGAAAGGACCAGGCUACUGCAAAACAAUUUGUAGUCUUCUGAUUAAAUAUAAAUAAUAAUUAAGCCUUUAGCUAUCAAAUUAGCAAAGAUUAAUGCAAUUGACUUAGGAUCAAUAGACAUAGGUGGAAUCCCUUUAUUUGAUAUAUAAAGAUGGCAGAAAAA
This 741-nucleotide ribosomal RNA is filed under the name Reishia clavigera. RNAcentral's name for it is "partial 16S ribosomal RNA". The stretch from base 1 to 580 matches the Rfam family "Bacterial large subunit ribosomal RNA", at positions 1817 to 2925 of the family's 2925-position model. Lineage: Eukaryota; Metazoa; Mollusca; Gastropoda; Neogastropoda; Muricidae. The record is from RNAcentral.